This 118-nucleotide ribosomal RNA is filed under the name Chelonia mydas (Green sea turtle). Lineage: Eukaryota; Metazoa; Chordata; Testudines; Cheloniidae. The record is from RNAcentral.
CUCUAUAGCCAAGCCGCACUGAACAUACCUGAUCUCAUCUAUUCUUGGAAAUAAGCAGGAUUGAGCCUUGUUAGUACUUGGAAUGGAAACCACUUGGGCAUGCCAGCUGUUAUAGGGA